GAUGAACGCUGGCGGCGUGCCUAAUACAUGCAAGUCGAGCGAACAGACGAGGAGCUUGCUUCACUGACGUUAACGGCGGACGGGUGAGUAACACGUGGAUACCCUACCUAUAAGACUGGGAUAACUUCGGGAAACCGGAGCUAAUACCGGAUAAUAUAUUGAACCGCAUGGUUCAAUAGUGAAAGACGGUUUUGCUGUCACUUAUAGAUGGUUCCGCGCCGCAUUAGCUAGUUGGUAAGGUAACGGCUUACCAAGGCAACGAUGCGUAGCCGACCUGAGAGGGGGAUCGGCCACACUGGAACUGAGACGCGGUCCAGACUCCUACGGGAGGCAGCAGUAGGGAAUCUUCCGCAAUGGGCGAAAGCCUGACGGAGCAACGCCGCGUGAGUGAUGAAGGUCUUCGGAUCGUAAAACUCUGUUAUUAGGGAAGAACAAAUGUGUAAGUAACUAUGCACGUCUUGACGGUACCUAAUCAGAAAGCCACGGCUAACUACGUG
Molecule: ribosomal RNA, 497 nt
Filed under: uncultured bacterium
Lineage: Bacteria
Description: partial 16S ribosomal RNA
Rfam family: Bacterial small subunit ribosomal RNA
Source: RNAcentral